This 228-nucleotide ribosomal RNA is filed under the name uncultured bacterium. Its description in RNAcentral is "partial 16S ribosomal RNA". It matches the Rfam family "Bacterial small subunit ribosomal RNA", at positions 524 to 750 of the family's 1533-position model. The record is from RNAcentral.
UACGAGGGGGCAAGCGUUGUUCGGAAUUAUUGGGCGUAAAGGGUGCGUAGGCGGCGCGGUAUGUCUCUUGUGAAAUCUCCAGGCUCAACUUGGAGUCUGCAAGGGGAAACUGCCGUGCUUGAGUACUGGAGAGGUGAGUGGAAUUCCCGGUGUAGCGGUGAAAUGCGUAGAUAUCGGGGAGGAACACCUGUGGCGAAAGCGGCUCACUGGACAGUAACUGACGCUGAU